RNAcentral lists this unclassified non-coding RNA (146 nucleotides) under soil metagenome. Its description in RNAcentral is "partial internal transcribed spacer 1". The record is from RNAcentral.
UAAUAAGUGUUUUAUGGCACUUUUUAAAUCCAUAUCCACCUUGUGUGCAGAUGUCAGUCGAUCUUCUUCAUGGAGAUCGACCAAACAUCAACCUUUAUCUUUUAACUCUUUGUCUGAAAAAUAUUAUGAAUAAACAAUUCAAAAUA